This 253-nucleotide ribosomal RNA is filed under the name uncultured bacterium. Its description in RNAcentral is "partial 16S ribosomal RNA". It matches the Rfam family "Bacterial small subunit ribosomal RNA", at positions 524 to 776 of the family's 1533-position model. The record is from RNAcentral.
GACGAACCGUGCGAACGUUGUUCGGAUUCACUGGGCUUAAAGGGCGCGUAGGCGGGUCGUCAAGUCGGUGGUGAAAUCUUUCGGCUCAACCGGAAAAUGGCCUCCGAUACUGGCGACCUCGAGGGGGGUAGGGGCAUGCGGAACUUCGGGUGGAGCGGUGAAAUGCGUAGAUAUCCGAAGGAACGCCGGUGGCGAAAGCGGCGUGCUGGACCCUUUCUGACGCUGAGGCGCGAAAGCCAGGGGAGCAAACGGG